This 357-nucleotide ribosomal RNA is filed under the name Papiliotrema laurentii. RNAcentral describes it as "eukaryotic LSU rRNA". It matches the Rfam family "Eukaryotic large subunit ribosomal RNA", at positions 161 to 526 of the family's 3401-position model. The record is from RNAcentral. Lineage: Eukaryota; Fungi; Basidiomycota; Tremellomycetes; Tremellales; Rhynchogastremaceae.
UUUUCCGUGCCGGACCGUGUCCAAGUCCCUUGGAACAGGGUAUCAAAGAGGGUGACAAUCCCGUACUUGACACGACUACCGGUGCUCUGUGAUACGUCUUCUACGAGUCGAGUUGUUUGGGAAUGCAGCUCAAAAUGGGUGGUGAGUUCCAUCUAAAGCUAAAUAUUGGCGAGAGACCGAUAGCGAACAAGUACCGUGAGGGAAAGAUGAAAAGCACUUUGGAAAGAGAGUUAAACAGUACGUGAAAUUGUUGAAAGGGAAACGAUUGAAGUCAGUCGUGACCGAGAGGCUCAGCCGGCUCUGCCGGUGUAUUCCCCUCGGUCGGGUCAACAUCAGUUUUGUCCGGUGGAUAAGGGC